Molecule: ribosomal RNA, 301 nt
Filed under: uncultured bacterium
Lineage: Bacteria
Description: partial 16S ribosomal RNA
Rfam family: Bacterial small subunit ribosomal RNA
Source: RNAcentral
CAGCCGCCACGGUAAUACGUAGGGUGCAAGCGUUAAUCGGAAUUACUGGGCGUAAAGCGUGCGCAGGCGGUUUGUUAAGACAGAUGUGAAAUCCCCGGGCUCAACCUGGGAACUGCAUUUGUGACUGGCAAGCUAGAGUGUGGCAGAGGGGGGUGGAAUUCCGCGUGUAGCAGUGAAAUGCGUAGAGAUCGGGAGGAACAUCAGUGGCGAAGGCGGCCAUCUGGGACAACACUGACGCUGAGGCACGAAAGCGUGGGGAGCAAACAGGAUUAGAUACCCCAGUAGUCCCUGUCUCUUAUAC